GAUGAACGCUGGCGGCGUGCCUAAUACAUGCAAGUCGAGCGAACAGACGAGGAGCUUGCUCCUCGGACGUUAGCGGCGGACGGGUGAGUAACACGUGGAUAACCUACCUAUAAGACUGGGAUAACUUCGGGAAACCGGAGCUAAUACCGGAUAAUAUAUUGAACCGCAUGGUUCAAUAGUGAAAGACGGUUUUGCUGUCACUUAUAGAUGGAUACGCGCCGCAUUAGCUAGUUGGUAAGGUAAAGGCUUACGAAGGCCACGCUGCGUAGCCGACCUGAUUGGGGGGUCGGCCACCCGGGAACUGAACCACGGUCCUGGCGCCUACGGGAGGCAGCAGUAGGCAAUCUUCCGCAGUGGGCGAAAGCCUUGCGGAGCAGCGCCGCGUGAGUUAUGAAGGUCUUCGGAUCGUAAAACUCUGUUAUGAGGGAAGAACAACUGUGUAAGUAACUAUGCCCGUCGUGACGGUACCUAAUCAGAAAGCCACGGCUAACUACGUG
Molecule: ribosomal RNA, 497 nt
Filed under: uncultured bacterium
Lineage: Bacteria
Description: partial 16S ribosomal RNA
Rfam family: Bacterial small subunit ribosomal RNA
Source: RNAcentral